UGUCAUUCCAAAUCUAGUAUUCAGAGUAAUCUUUCAACUACAAUUCGUUUUGACAUAACAUAACUUUCAAAUUCCAGUGUGGAAGAAUAACUUAAAAAUUCCCCUAAAAAUGGAUGGUGACACACUAACUAACACCCUCAAAGAAUCCCUCGGAAAAUUGGCGAGCGAGCAUUUUGACAGCUAUGAAGCGAUCUAUUCCUGUCUAAUGUACAUAAUUUGGGCAAUCUCGCUGUGGUUUGUGCUCUCGUGGGUGACGCGCAUUGUUUGCAAGCUGUUUUUCCCCGUGGUGGCGUGUUUUGCAUUUUUGGCAAUUUUCAAUGAACAACAUUCUGCGGCUUUACGGACGGUGUUGAGGAUCUGCAGCUUUAUUUGCUCUAAAACUGCAAGUCAGAUUGAUAAAUUUAAUGGCAGUGAAUGGAAUCCUUAUGCAAGAUGAAUUUCACAAAUACAUAUCUGGAGGUUUUUUUUUUGAAAA
Molecule: long non-coding RNA, 475 nt
Organism: Culex pipiens pallens (northern house mosquito)
Lineage: Eukaryota; Metazoa; Arthropoda; Insecta; Diptera; Culicidae
Exons: 3
Source: RefSeq, a predicted model, not a curated record